RNAcentral lists this ribosomal RNA (397 nucleotides) under uncultured bacterium. Its description in RNAcentral is "partial 16S ribosomal RNA". It matches the Rfam family "Bacterial small subunit ribosomal RNA", at positions 523 to 918 of the family's 1533-position model. The record is from RNAcentral.
AUACGUAGGGGGCGAGCGUUGUCCGGAAUGAUUGGGCGUAAAGGGCGCGUAGGCGGCCCGGUAAGUCUGGAGUGAAGGUCCUGUUUUUAAGAUGGGAAUUGCUUUGGAUACUGUCGGGCUUGAGUGCAGGAGAGGUAAGUGGAAUUCCCAGUGUAGCGGUGAAAUGCGUAGAGAUUGGGAGGAACACCAGUGGCGAAGGCGACUUACUGGACUGUAACUGACGCUGAGGCGCGAAAGUGUGGGGAGCAAACAGGAGUAGAUACCCUGGUAGUCCACACUGUAAACGAUGAAUGCUAGGUGUAGGGGGUAUCGACCCCUUCUGUGCCGGAGUCAACACAAUAAGCAUUCCGCCUGGGGAGUACGGCCGCAAGGUUGAAACUCAAAUGAAUUGACGGGG